AUCCAGCUGACUAGUCCCAAAUAGGACGAAACACGAGUCAAAUUGGAU
Schistosoma curassoni is the source of this 48-nucleotide non-coding RNA. The record is from Rfam. NCBI's taxonomy places the organism in Eukaryota, Metazoa, Platyhelminthes, Trematoda, Strigeidida, Schistosomatidae.